RNAcentral lists this ribosomal RNA (496 nucleotides) under uncultured bacterium. RNAcentral's name for it is "partial 16S ribosomal RNA". It matches the Rfam family "Bacterial small subunit ribosomal RNA", at positions 28 to 506 of the family's 1533-position model. The record is from RNAcentral.
GAUGAACGCUGGCGGCGUGCCUAAUACAUGCAAGUCGAGCGAACAGAUGAGGAGCUUGCUCCUCUGACGUUAGCGGCGGACGGGUGAGUAGCACGUGGAUAACCUACCUAUAAGACUGGGAUAACUUCGGGAAACCGGAGCUAAUACCGGAUAAUAUAUUGAACCGCAUGGUUCAAUAGUGAAAGACGGUUUUGCUGUCACUUAUAGAUGGAUCCGCGCCGCAUUAGCUAGUUGGUAAGGUAACGGCUUACCAAGGCAACGAUGCGUAGCCGACCUGAGAGGGUGAUCGGCCACACUGGAACUGAGACACGGUCCAGACUCCUACGGGAGGCAGCAGUAGGGAAUCUUCCGCAAGGGGCGAAAGCCUGACGGAGCAACGCCGCGUGAGUGAUGAAGGUCUUCGGAUCGUAAAACUCUGUUAUUAGGGAAGAACAAAUGUGUAAGUAACGAUGCACGUCUUGACGGUACCUAAUCAGAAAGCCACGGCUAACUACGU